Molecule: ribosomal RNA, 660 nt
Filed under: Pedobacter sp. AR-379
Lineage: Bacteria; Pseudomonadati; Bacteroidota; Sphingobacteriia; Sphingobacteriales; Sphingobacteriaceae
Description: bacterial SSU rRNA
Rfam family: Bacterial small subunit ribosomal RNA
Source: RNAcentral
GUGGCGCACGGGUGCGUAACGCGUAUGCAACCUACCUUAAUCAGGGGGAUAGCCCGAAGAAAUUCGGAUUAAGACCGCAUAAAAACACAGGAUAGCAUUAUCCAAUGUUCAAAUAUUUAUAGGAUUAAGAUGGGCAUGCGUGUCAUUAGCUAGUUGGCGGGGUAACGGCCCACCAAGGCGACGAUGACUAGGGGAUCUGAGAGGAUGACCCCCCACACUGGUACUGAGACACGGACCAGACUCCUACGGGAGGCAGCAGUAAGGAAUAUUGGUCAAUGGAGGGAACUCUGAACCAGCCAUGCCGCGUGCAGGAAGACAGCCCUCUGGGUCGUAAACUGCUUUUAUUCGGGAAUAAACCUACUUACGUGUAAGUAGCUGAAUGUACCGAAGGAAUAAGGAUCGGCUAACUCCGUGCCAGCAGCCGCGGUAAUACGGAGGAUCCAAGCGUUAUCCGGAUUUAUUGGGUUUAAAGGGUGCGUAGGCGGCUUAUUAAGUCAGGGGUGAAAGACGGUGGCUCAACCAUCGCAGUGCCCUUGAUACUGAUGAGCUUGAAUACACUAGAGGUAGGCGGAAUGUGACAAGUAGCGGUGAAAUGCAUAGAUAUGUCACAGAACACCGAUUGCGAAGGCAGCUUACUAUGGGUGUUAUUGACGCUGAGGC